Molecule: long non-coding RNA, 346 nt
Organism: Selaginella moellendorffii
Lineage: Eukaryota; Viridiplantae; Streptophyta; Lycopodiopsida; Selaginellales; Selaginellaceae
Exons: 3
Source: RefSeq, a predicted model, not a curated record
UGCGAGAUCGCAAGAAAAAGUACCGGGACAAGAACAAUUAUCUGCACCACCACACCGAAGGACGACACGCAUUAUCUGGACGAAUCAUGUUUGGAACAAACCUGUUCAUCAUUCGUAAGGCGAGAAAGCUCGAGUGUUUGGUGCUAGAUCCUGUCGUUGAUUGAAUCGUGACCGGCCAGCAGCCAAUUCCUCUCCCUGUUCACGAAACAGACUGGGCACUACUACUUGAUGUUUACGAAACAGACCAGGUACUACUUACAGCAGAGAUUUUUUUUUUCUACAGAGGGUACUGUGAAAACGGCCGCUCAAGCUGCGACUGGCGUUUUCACGUGAGACGCAAAUGGAU